GACGAACGCUGGCGGCGUGCUUAACACAUGCAAGUCGAACGGAAAGGCCCUGCUUUUGUGGGGUGCUCGAGUGGCGAACGGGUGAGUAACACGUGAGUAACCUGCCCUUGACUUUGGGAUAACUUCAGGAAACUGGGGCUAAUACCGGAUAGGAGCUCCUGCUGCAUGGUGGGGGUUGGAAAGUUUCGGCGGUUGGGGAUGGACUCGCGGCUUAUCAGCUUGUUGGUGGGGUAGUGGCUUACCAAGGCUUUGACGGGUAGCCGGCCUGAGAGGGUGACCGGCCACAUUGGGCCUGAGAUACGGCCCAGCCUCCUGCGGGCGGCAGCAGUGGGGAAUAUUGCACAAUGGGCGGAAGCCUGAUGCAGCAACGCCGCGUGCGGGAUGACGGCCUUCGGGUUGUAAACCGCUUUCGCCUGUGACGAAGCGUGAGUGACGGUAAUGGGUAAAGAAGCACCGGCUAACUACGUG
RNAcentral lists this ribosomal RNA (468 nucleotides) under uncultured bacterium. Its description in RNAcentral is "partial 16S ribosomal RNA". It matches the Rfam family "Bacterial small subunit ribosomal RNA", at positions 28 to 507 of the family's 1533-position model. The record is from RNAcentral.